UAUGAUGCUAAUUUUUUUUUUAAUCGAAGUAUAUGUUCGGAUUAUUUGUAUUUGUUGUUAUCUGGAGCUCCGGAUCCGAAUAGCACGAAGUAUCCAAUCAACAGCUCUACUCAAAGGAGCAAAAAUGCACCGAUCAACGAAUUCGAUUACUCCGGCAACGGGAUUGUUAACCGGAAAUCGGAACCAGAGACGGCUAAAUAAGCUCCGUCCGGAUGAAUCCGGCGAAGUCGACAUCGGCUGAAGAUAAGCCCAAGCGGCUUGCUUCACAAGUCGAUUCCGUAUUGAAAUCUCGGAACCUGAUUGGCCGUUACUAGCCGUAGCCAUAGGCCGGGGAGAAUUAACAGUUGCCGGCGGUAAUAGAUCUCUUAGAGAAGUAUACGAUACAGGUUUAAUUGAGAAAAGCUCAAAAUCAUCGCUUACCGAAUUCGUCAUCGAAGACGAAGCCGAUGACGUGACGGUAGCUGUAGUAGUUGAUGCUGAUGAUUGAAGAGGUAAACUGAGCUUUGUAGGUAGCGUAACGGAGUUGCGACGACGGAGGAGAGGAUUUUCCGGUGCGGCGGCGGUUGGCUCAACGACGGCCAUAGCUGAGGGUAGUGAGAGAAAGUUCUAGAGAGAGAAAGA
Molecule: unclassified non-coding RNA, 621 nt
Filed under: Hevea brasiliensis (rubber tree)
Lineage: Eukaryota; Viridiplantae; Streptophyta; Magnoliopsida; Malpighiales; Euphorbiaceae
Source: RNAcentral